RNAcentral lists this ribosomal RNA (200 nucleotides) under uncultured eukaryote. RNAcentral's name for it is "partial 18S ribosomal RNA". It matches the Rfam family "Eukaryotic small subunit ribosomal RNA", at positions 588 to 796 of the family's 1831-position model. The record is from RNAcentral.
GCUCCAAUAGCGUAUAUUUAAGUUGCUGCAGUUAAAAAGCUCGUAGUUGGAUUUCUGCCGAGGACGACCGGUCCGCCACUGGGUGUGCAUCUGGCUCGGCCUGGGCAUCUUCUUGGAGAACGUAUCUGCACUUCACUGUGUGGUGCGGUAUCCAGGACUUUACUUGAGGAAAUUAGAGUGUUUCAAGCAGGCACACGCCU